RNAcentral lists this ribosomal RNA (673 nucleotides) under uncultured bacterium. RNAcentral's name for it is "bacterial SSU rRNA". It matches the Rfam family "Bacterial small subunit ribosomal RNA", at positions 80 to 749 of the family's 1533-position model. The record is from RNAcentral.
UUGCUUCUCUUGAGAGCGGCGGACGGGUGAGUAAUGCCUAGGAAUCUGCCUGGUAGUGGGGGAUAACGUCCGGAAACGGACGCUAAUACCGCAUACGUCCUACGGGAGAAAGCAGGGGACCUUCGGGCCUUGCGCUAUCAGAUGAGCCUAGGUCGGAUUAGCUAGUUGGUGGGGUAAUGGCUCACCAAGGCGACGAUCCGUAACUGGUCUGAGAGGAUGAUCAGUCACACUGGAACUGAGACACGGUCCAGACUCCUACGGGAGGCAGCAGUGGGGAAUAUUGGACAAUGGGCGAAAGCCUGAUCCAGCCAUGCCGCGUGUGUGAAGAAGGUCUUCGGAUUGUAAAGCACUUUAAGUUGGGAGGAAGGGCAGUAAAUUAAUACUUUGCUGUUUUGACGUUACCGACAGAAUAAGCACCGGCUAACUCUGUGCCAGCAGCCGCGGUAAUACAGAGGGUGCAAGCGUUAAUCGGAAUUACUGGGCGUAAAGCGCGCGUAGGUGGUUCGUUAAGUUGGAUGUGAAAUCCCCGGGCUCAACCUGGGAACUGCAUUCAAAACUGACGAGCUAGAGUAUGGUAGAGGGUGGUGGAAUUUCCUGUGUAGCGGUGAAAUGCGUAGAUAUAGGAAGGAACACCAGUGGCGAAGGCGACCACCUGGACUGAUACUGACACUGA